GUAGGGAAUCUUCCACAAUGGACGAAAGUCUGAUGGAGCAACGCCGCGUGAGUGAAGAAGGUCUUCGGAUCGUAAAACUCUGUUGUUAGAGAAGAACGUACAUGAUAGUAACUGAUCAUGUAAUGACGGUAUCUAACCAGAAAGCCACGGCUAACUACGUGCCAGCAGCCGCGGUAAUACGUAGGUGGCAAGCGUUGUCCGGAUUUAUUGGGCGUAAAGGGAACGCAGGCGGUUUUUUAAGUCUGAUGUGAAAGCCUUCGGCUUAACCGAAGAAUAGCAUUGGAAACUGGAAGACUUGAGUGCAGAAGAGGAGAGUGGAAUUCCAUGUGUAGCGGUGAAAUGCGUAGAUAUUGGGAGGAACACCAGUGGCGAAGGCGCCUUUCUGGACUGUGUCUGACGCUGAGAUGCGAAAGCCAGGGUAGCGAACGGGAUUAGAAACCCCUGUAGUCC
This 450-nucleotide ribosomal RNA is filed under the name uncultured bacterium. Its description in RNAcentral is "partial 16S ribosomal RNA". It matches the Rfam family "Bacterial small subunit ribosomal RNA", at positions 354 to 796 of the family's 1533-position model. The record is from RNAcentral.